Molecule: small nuclear RNA, 130 nt
Filed under: Mus pahari (shrew mouse)
Lineage: Eukaryota; Metazoa; Chordata; Mammalia; Rodentia; Muridae
Description: snRNA (MGP_PahariEiJ_G0033574.1)
Source: RNAcentral
AAAUGUACCUGUCAAGAGUAGAUCAUAAGGUGAUGUUCCCGGGACAGUGCUGAUUCACUGCAUUUGGAAUGUACUGACCCUUGUUGGGAAACUUGAUUUAUAAUUUAUGGUAGUGGAGGAGUACACUUUC